Molecule: ribosomal RNA, 335 nt
Filed under: uncultured bacterium
Lineage: Bacteria
Description: bacterial SSU rRNA
Rfam family: Bacterial small subunit ribosomal RNA
Source: RNAcentral
CGCGUAGGCGGUUUUUUAAGUCAGAUGUGUAAUCCCCGAGCUUAACUUGGGAACUGCAUCUGAGACUGGAAGGCUAGAGUACUGGAGAGGGUGGUGGAAUUCCUCGUGUAGCGGUGAAAUGCGUAGAGAUGAGGAGGAACACCAGUGGCGAAGGCGGCCACCUGGACAGUAACUGACGCUGAGGCGCGAAAGUGUGGGUAGCAAACAGGAUUAGAUACCCUGGUAGUCCACGCUGUAAACGAUGAACACUUGGUGUGGAGGGAGUUCGACCCCUUCCGUGCCGGAGCUAACGCGUUAAGCGUUCCGCCGUGGGGAGUACGGUCGCAAGGCUAGAA